Molecule: ribosomal RNA, 59 nt
Filed under: Catenaria anguillulae
Lineage: Eukaryota; Fungi; Blastocladiomycota; Blastocladiomycetes; Blastocladiales; Catenariaceae
Description: partial large subunit ribosomal RNA
Source: RNAcentral
AUGUAAAGUCCACUGGAAUGUGGCAGCGCCCCUUGCGUUCUUUGGGUCAGAGAGGGUGA